CAGUCCUUGGCUUGUGUGUGCAUCAUUCCUGUCUCUGUCGCCUCAUCCCAUGGCCUCAUCCCCCAUGUCUAUCUGCAUGUCCUUUCCUGUCUCUUACAAAGAUUUCAUGGAAUUAGGGCCCACCUCCAUCCAGCACGAUCUCAUCUCCAUCCUCACCUUAAAUUUUGCAAAGAUACUAUUUCCAAAGGAAUCAUAUCAGAUCUGGAGGUUCUGAAUGGGGGGGGGGGGGAGGAGGGACUCUUCAACCCACCGCACUCUCUUCCUGUUGCAGUUCCUGUUUGUGAUUAUCACGUGUCUGUGUCAGGUGAUGGUCCUGUCCCUAAGAGUGAGGCUAUCUUCAUUCUGGACCAUCAGCCACUGGUGCCAAGCCCCUCAAGCAAGAACUCCAAGCACAUAUCCAUUAGCCACAUUGGACUCCUCACUGGCCUUCCACCUCUUCUGCUCCAGGACCUUUGCACCAGCUGUUCCCUCUGUGCAAUUUCUUUAUUGAUUAUGUUUCCUGCUCACUGUCUAGAAAGUUGGCCCCAUGAAAACAGGGAUCCUCACCCAUUCUGUACAUUUGUGCUUCUCAAAGUUUUAGAAUAGUGCUUGGCACAUAGCAGAUGCUCAACAAAUACUUAUUGAAUAUAAAAAAUUGAAUGAAGACUCCUGUUCUGGUUUAGCCUGUGGAGAAGAAUGGUCUGGCCAUUCACUGUGAUGUGCCUUAGCUCUUUCUGGCUCACAGGACCCCAGAUUCCCUGACCCUCCCAUGUCCAUGCAGAUGGAAGGCUUUGGUCUGAAAUAGCAAGCCACCCAUUCCCAGGCAUCCUG
This 810-nucleotide long non-coding RNA is filed under the name Canis lupus familiaris (dog). RNAcentral's name for it is "lncRNA (ENSCAFG00040013824.1)". Lineage: Eukaryota; Metazoa; Chordata; Mammalia; Carnivora; Canidae. The record is from RNAcentral.